Molecule: non-coding RNA, 46 nt
Filed under: Sus scrofa (pig)
Lineage: Eukaryota; Metazoa; Chordata; Mammalia; Artiodactyla; Suidae
Source: RNAcentral
CAACUAGACUGUGAGCUUCUCAAAAGCAAACAUUUUCACCCUUGGC